UGCAGAGCAAAUCCCCAAAAGCAGUCUUAGUUCGGAUUGUAGGCUGCAACUCGCCUACAUGAAGUCGGAAUUGCUAGUAAUCGCGGAUCAGCAUGCCGCGGUGAAUACGUUCCCGGGCCUUGUACACACCGCCCGUCACACCAUGGGAGUCGGUAACACCCGAAGCCUGUAGUCUAACCGCAAGGAGGACGCAGUCGAAGGUGGGAUUGAUAACUGGGGUGAAGUCGUAACAAGGUAUC
RNAcentral lists this ribosomal RNA (239 nucleotides) under uncultured bacterium. RNAcentral describes it as "partial 16S ribosomal RNA". It matches the Rfam family "Bacterial small subunit ribosomal RNA", at positions 1261 to 1500 of the family's 1533-position model. The record is from RNAcentral.